AGUGUUCAGGAUGCAAUGAUGCAUGGUAUUGUGGACAGUCGUGUCAGCUUAAUGACCGGAGUAGUCACAAAAAGCUUUGUCAAAAACGUAUUAAAGGUGUUAAAGAUGCUGCGAAAAAACAGCGUGACUACUACGAGAAGCGAUCAGGUGGACCAAUUGCUCGACCAUACUAUGUGGGAAACACUCUUGCUGUUGAUAUGCUCAACCUUCAGGAAAAUGAAUGUAAUAUGAAGUUGGAGAGAAGCGAACGAACCAUCAACUUGAAAAGCGAUUUCAGCAUUCUGCAAGCUGGGUGUGGCAAUCUACGACAUACCAUUCUAACCACAGCAUCUCUACCGGAGGAUUUUGAGGGAAAACUUUCCAUCACACUCAAUGAUUUUGACCCAUUCGUUCAAGCAAGGAAUGUUCUUUUUCUUUGUAUGAUGAUUGUAUUCGCAACAAAACCUGGCAUUGCUGAACUUAUAACAACGAUCUGGUAUUCGCUGCACCUUUCUAGCAGUCAGUUCGAUUUUCUGACAGAAUGUCUGACAAAACUGGUUAGUUUCCACAGCGUUGCUCUGGUCAGGGUUACCAAAGGACUUGUGAACAUUACCGAAGAACACAUGGCACAAUUGAGAGAGGUCUGGCGCGGAUGGCUGGGGCUUCAAUGUGAUAAAAGUUGUCCAAAAUACAUUAACCUGAAAAAGACGCGUGACGUAUUUCAUAAUCUUAUGAAUCAUGAUCCUACACAGAAUUUCAACAAAUGGGCAUUCCUUCUGAAAAAACAGGCCCCACAGGAAUGCGUGAAAUCAGUCGAACAGUGGCUUGAGGAUGGAAAUUUUCAAGCAUCCUCUGAAACACUAAAAUACGACAACCCCACUUUGACUGGUUAUAAUUUAUUGCAAGGUAAAAAGUACACGCUCACAGAGGCACUAGAAACCCUGAAAUUGCCAAGGCAGCACGAAUUUUCAUAUUGCAUAUCCGGAAAAUUAUCUGUAUUUGGCGAAUGGGACCAGCUGCUUGUUCAGAAGCACAAUUUGAACAAAUCUUUGAUACUCCGCUUUCACUCUUACAUCACAAGUCUUGUUGACAAAACCAUUUCGUUUUUUAAAGACAAACGUUUGUCAAUUGACGUUCAAGUGUGUAAUUGUAUGGAACUUCCAUCUCGAUUACCACCAAAUGCCCAGUUCGACCGUGUUUUCACCUCCAACGUUGCAGACUAUCAUGGAACGAAAACAGUAUUGAAAACCUUCAAAUCUCUUCUGAAAACCAGCAACAAAAAGGCUGUUCUUGUUACUCAAUAUCAAAUGUGGCCUGCAGCGUUCAACGAAGCCUUAGUUGAGAAAAACUUCGAAAUUACUAUUGAUGGAACAUACAAUCAGUUGUUGCUGGACGCCAGACAUGACACUGGGAGAAAAGAUAUUGAUGAGAUGCUGAAAAUGUAUUCAAAGGUCAAGGGAAAUUCAAUGUUUUGCAUGAUGGACGAAACUUCGGCAGUUGAUCCACAGUCAAUGGUUGACGCAAUGAGUAAGCUGGGCAUUGAUGAGCAUCUUACUCAGGAGUACUUCAACAACAUGAUAUAUUUCAUUAGUUUGUUGCGAGCUGAUCUCAUGGCCUGUGACCAAAGUUUACCUGCAGAGAAAGCUGCCCCAUUUCAAGAAGUAACGAGCAUGGAAGGAUUCAGGAUGAGAGAUUUCAGGCGUGAACUGAAUAGAGUGGUUCCAUUUGCGUAUCGACGUAACGCCAGACCAAUCAACUUACUGAAGGCACUUCUUCGCAUGGUGGAAUGGCGAUUGUCGGAUGAAUAGAAUGACUGCAUGACUCGAGCGCCAUACUUUAUUCCUCUAUAUACAACAUCGAAGAGAAGAACAAAGGACUAUAUGGUUCCAUACAUUAGGCGUGUGUCAGUGGUCUCUAUAUAUAGGACUGGAGAGAGAACUGCGGCGAUUUACUCAUAAAUGUCGUAAAUGAAUGUUUUGGAAAGAUAUAUUGUAGAAUUAGUAUGAAAUGGCAGCAUAUGUUUUGGGGGAAACGUCUUCAAGAAACAGCUAGUUCGUCAAACAUUGCCGGUUUCUCCUUCGUUUGUAAACAAGUAAAGCUUUAAGCGACAUAGAUGAAUCAAUUUGUAGCACUCGAUCACUAGUAGUUUGUCCAUUUGAUUUCUUUCAAGGGCAUUUUUCAGUUCAGUUCAGGACAGUGCUCGAGCAAAAGCUUACUGCAAAAGUACGUUCAAGGCAGCUGUGUAGAGAACUAGACAAAACAAAGAAGGGCGUCCCUCAAAUAUCUACAUGUCCGCCAUGUUCUAUUUCACACGAUAGAUCGAAGUUCUCUCUCCAGUCCUAUAUCGAGCUUAUGGUUUGGGCCUGAUUUCAGAUUUUGUGGGUGUACAUGCAUUCAAUGUUAAUUCAGUGGGUAUAAUUUGUUUGAUUAUUGCAGUAUCAUAUUUAUAUAUUUGAUUAUUUUGAUAAGUUGUCUACUAGGAACUUUAGUCUUAAACCGGAUUACAAAGUUAUAUUCAUUACCAAACGGUCAUAUUGUCCUACAAACCAAACAAAAAUGAAAGUUGUUAGAAAAUGUUCGAGAUUUAAAUGUUUUUAGAGGUCAUUCUAGAACGAACAAUUCCUAGAAGGAAAAAUUCCUAAUGGUAACUUGAAAUAGUCGGUAACCUAAGCAUAACUGGACAAACAGUGAAAGUCUGACUGAUGUAAUGACUUUGGAUCGACCUGGCAAUUCUUGUGAAUCAUUUCCAGCAAUUUCCCACAAUUAAUUUUAAAGUAACCUUGUUUAUUUUGCCGGAUGAUAGGCAGAUAUAUUUCUGUGAAACACAUUCCUAACUGAAAAAUUAUAGAG
Paramuricea clavata is the source of this 2829-nucleotide non-coding RNA. Lineage: Eukaryota; Metazoa; Cnidaria; Anthozoa; Malacalcyonacea; Plexauridae. The record is from the annotation of a GenBank genome assembly.